This 490-nucleotide ribosomal RNA is filed under the name uncultured bacterium. Its description in RNAcentral is "partial 16S ribosomal RNA". It matches the Rfam family "Bacterial small subunit ribosomal RNA", at positions 30 to 507 of the family's 1533-position model. The record is from RNAcentral.
AUUGAACGCUGGCGGCAGGCUUAACACAUGCAAGUCGAGCGGUAGCACAGGGGAGCUUGCUCCCUGGGUGACGAGCGGCGGACGGGUGAGUAAUGUCUGGGAAACUGCCUGAUGGAGGGGGAUAACUACUGGAAACGGUAGCUAAUACCGCAUAACGUCGCGAGACCAAAGAGGGGGACCUUCGGGCCUCUUGCCAUCAGAUGUGCCCAGAUGGGAUUAGCUAGUAGGUGGGGUAAUGGCUCACCUAGGCGACGAUCCCUAGCUGGUCUGAGAGGAUGACCAGCCACACUGGAACUGAGACACGGUCCAGACUCCUACGGGAGGCAGCAGUGGGGAAUAUUGCACAAUGGGCGCAAGCCUGAUGCAGCCAUGCCGCGUGUGUGAAGAAGGCCUUCGGGUUGUAAAGCACUUUCAGCGAGGAGGAAGGUGGUGAGCUUAAUACGUUCAUCAAUUGACGUUACUCGCAGAAGAAGCACCGGCUAACUCCGUG